RNAcentral lists this small RNA (507 nucleotides) under Haplographium delicatum. RNAcentral's name for it is "eukaryotic LSU rRNA". The stretch from base 160 to 313 matches the Rfam family "5.8S ribosomal RNA". Lineage: Eukaryota; Fungi; Ascomycota; Leotiomycetes; Helotiales; Hyaloscyphaceae. The record is from RNAcentral.
UAUUACAGAGUUCUUGCCCCCCGGGGUAGACCUCCCACCCUUGAAUACAUACUAUUGUUGCUUUGGCGGGCUGCCGUAAGGCAUCGGCUUUGGCUGACCUGCCCGCCAAAGGACCCAACUCUGUAUUAAGUGAUGUCUGAGUACUAUUUUAAUAGUUAAAACUUUCAACAACGGAUCUCUUGGUUCUGGCAUCGAUGAAGAACGCAGCGAAAUGCGAUAAGUAAUGUGAAUUGCAGAAUUCAGUGAAUCAUCGAAUCUUUGAACGCACAUUGCGCCCCUUGGUAUUCCGAGGGGCAUGCCUGUUCGAGCGUCAUUAGUACCAAAUCAAGCUCGUCUUGGUGUUGGGGUUCGCCAUUUGGCGGCCCUUAAACUCAGUGGCGGUGCUGCCGGGCUCUAAGCGUAGUAAUUUUCUCGCUAUAGGGUCCCGGGAGACGCCCGCCAUAACUCUUUAUAACUGGUUGACCUCGGAUCAGGUAGGGAUACCCGCUGAACUUAAGCAUAUCAAUA